RNAcentral lists this ribosomal RNA (465 nucleotides) under uncultured bacterium. RNAcentral describes it as "partial 16S ribosomal RNA". It matches the Rfam family "Bacterial small subunit ribosomal RNA", at positions 28 to 507 of the family's 1533-position model. The record is from RNAcentral.
GACGAACGCUGGCGGCGUGCUUAACACAUGCAAGUCGAACGGAAAGGCCCUGCUUGCAGGGUACUCGAGUGGCGAACGGGUGAGUAACACGUGGGUGAUCUGCCCUGCACUUCGGGAUAAGCCUGGGAAACUGGGUCUAAUACCGGAUCGGAGCCAUUUUUAGCGUGAUGGUUGGAAAGUUUUUUCGGUGUAGGAUGAGCCCGCGGCCUAUCAGCUUGUUGGUGGGGUAAUGGCCUACCAAGGCGGCGACGGGUAGCCGGCCUGGGAGGGUGGACGGCCACAUUGGGUCUGAGAUACGGCCCAGACACCUACGGGAGGCAGCAGUGGGGAAGAGUGCACAAUGGGCGCAAGCCUGAUGCAGCGACGCCGCGUGGGGGAUGACGGCCUUCGGGUUGUAAACUCCUUUCGCUAGGGACGAAGCUUUUUGUGACGGUACCUAGAUAAGAAGCACCGGCUAACUACGUG